UACAGAGGGUGCGAGCGUUGUUCGGAAUUACUGGGCGUAAAGCGCGCGCAGGCGGCCCUUUAAGUCUGUCGGUCAAACGCCGGGGCUCAACCCCGUGCUCGCCGGAGAUACUGGAGGGCUGGAGACAGGUAGAGGCAGGCGGAAUUCCGGGUGUAGCGGUGGAAUGCGUAGAGAUCCGGAAGAACACCAGAGGCGAAGGCGGCCUGCUGGGCCUUGUCUGACGCUGAGGCGCGAAAGCGUGGGGAGCGAACAGGAUUAGAAACCCGAGUAGUCG
This 274-nucleotide ribosomal RNA is filed under the name uncultured bacterium. RNAcentral's name for it is "partial 16S ribosomal RNA". It matches the Rfam family "Bacterial small subunit ribosomal RNA", at positions 524 to 796 of the family's 1533-position model. The record is from RNAcentral.